CCUACGGGAGGCAGCAGUGGGGAAUAUUGCACAAUGGGGGAAACCCUGAUGCAGCGACGCCGCGUGAGUGAAGAAGUAAUUCGUUAUGUAAAGCUCUAUCAGCAGGGAAGAAAAUGACGGUACCUGAGUAAGAAGCCCCGGCUAACUACGUGCCAGCAGCCGCGGUAAUACGUAGGGGGCACGCGUUAUCCGGAUUUACUGGGUGUAAAGGGAGCGUAGACGGCAGUGCAAGUCUGAAGUGAAAGCCCGCGGCCCAACUGCGGGACUGCUUUGGAAACUGCCCGGCUAGAGUGCUGGAGAGGUAAGCGGAAUUCCUAGUGUAGCGGUGAAAUGCGUAGAUAUUAGGAGGAACACCAGUGGCGAAGGCGGCUUACUGGACAGUAACUGACGUUGAGGCUCGAAAGCGUGGGGAGCAAACAGGAUUAGAUACCCCUGUAGUC
RNAcentral lists this ribosomal RNA (440 nucleotides) under uncultured bacterium. RNAcentral describes it as "partial 16S ribosomal RNA". It matches the Rfam family "Bacterial small subunit ribosomal RNA", at positions 338 to 795 of the family's 1533-position model. The record is from RNAcentral.